Molecule: ribosomal RNA, 378 nt
Filed under: uncultured bacterium
Lineage: Bacteria
Description: bacterial SSU rRNA
Rfam family: Bacterial small subunit ribosomal RNA
Source: RNAcentral
GUAGUCCACGCCCUAAACUAUGUCAACUGGUUGUCGGGGGAUUGAUUCCCUUGGUAACGAAGCUAACGCGUGAAGUUGACCGCCUGGGGAGUACGGUCGCAAGAUUAAAACUCAAAGGAAUUGACGGGGACCCGCACAAGCGGUGGAUUAUGUGGAUUAAUUCGAUGCAACGCGAAAAACCUUACCUACCCUUGACUUGUAGCGAACCUCGCAGAGAUGUGAGGGUGCCCGAAAGGGAACGCUAACACAGGUGCUGCAUGGCUGUCGUCAGCUCGUGUCGUGAGAUGUUGGGUUAAGUCCCGCAACGAGCGCAACCCUUGUCGUUAAUUGCCAUCAUUUAGUUGGGCACUUUAACGAGACUGCCGGUGACAAACCGGA